GGGUCAGUAGGUUGGUCGUGCCACCGGUACGUACUGGUCUCACUGAUUCCUCCUUCCUGAAGAACCGUAAUGCCAUUAAUUUGGUGUUGCGGGGAGACAGGACUGUUACUUUGAAAAAAUUAGAGUGUUUAAAGCAAGCUAACGCUUGAAUACAUUAGCAUGGUAUAAUGAAAUAGGACGAUCGAUCCUAUUUUGUUGGUUUCUAGGAUUGACGUA
RNAcentral lists this ribosomal RNA (216 nucleotides) under Glomeromycotina sp. RNAcentral's name for it is "partial small subunit ribosomal RNA". The stretch from base 40 to 216 matches the Rfam family "Eukaryotic small subunit ribosomal RNA", at positions 686 to 864 of the family's 1831-position model. Lineage: Eukaryota; Fungi; Glomeromycota. The record is from RNAcentral.